Non-coding RNA from Pogona vitticeps (central bearded dragon), 261 nucleotides. The record is from RefSeq and is a predicted model, not a curated record. Lineage: Eukaryota; Metazoa; Chordata; Lepidosauria; Squamata; Agamidae.
CCACUUGUUUCUUUCGCCCUGUGAAGGAAGAAAUUGCCCACGUUCACGUCUUCAUUCAAAAGGGUGACAGUGUGAGCUUUGAGGGCCGGAAGAAGGUGCUGAUGAGAUAUGCACAUCCAAAGGUUUUUAUAAAACCAAGCAAGCCCUUUUAUAAACCUGGAGAAACAGCUAAGUUUCGCAUAGUGAGGCUUAAUGGAGAAUUUAAAGCUGUUGGCGAAACAAUCCCAGAGAUACUGCUGAUAGUAAGUAAUUUAGAAUGAU